RNAcentral lists this unclassified non-coding RNA (348 nucleotides) under soil metagenome. RNAcentral's name for it is "partial contains 5.8S ribosomal RNA, internal transcribed spacer 2, and large subunit ribosomal RNA". The stretch from base 1 to 120 matches the Rfam family "5.8S ribosomal RNA", at positions 35 to 154 of the family's 154-position model. The record is from RNAcentral.
GAUGAAGAACGUAGCGAAAUGCGAUAAGUAGUGUGAAUUGCAGAAUUCAGUGAAUCAUCGAAUCUUUGAACGCACAUUGCGCCCGCUGGUAUUCCGGCGGGCAUGCCUGUUCGAGCGUCAUUUCAACCCUCAAGCCCCCGGGUUUGGUGUUGGGGAUCGGCUCUGCCCUUCUGGGCGGUGCCGCCCCCGAGAUACAUUGGCGGUCUCGCUGCAGCCUCCAUUGCGUAGUAGCUAACACCUCGCAACUGGAACGCGGCGCGGCCAUGCCGUAAAACCCCAACUUCUGAAUGUUGACCUCGGAUCAGGUAGGAAUACCCGCUGAACUUAAGCAUAUCAAUAAGCGGAGGA